Molecule: ribosomal RNA, 463 nt
Filed under: uncultured bacterium
Lineage: Bacteria
Description: partial 16S ribosomal RNA
Rfam family: Bacterial small subunit ribosomal RNA
Source: RNAcentral
GACGAACGCUGGCGGCGUGCUUAACACAUGCAAGUCGAACGGAAAGGCCUUUUCGGAGGUACUCGAGUGGCGAACGGGUGAGUAACACGUGGGUGAUCUGCCCUGCACUCUGGGAUAAGCCUGGGAAACUGGGUCUAAUACCGGAUAGGACCGCACUUUAGUGUGUGUGGUGGAAAGUUUUUUCGGUGUAGGAUGAGCCCGCGGCCUAUCAGCUUGUUGGUGGGGUAAUGGCCUACCAAGGCGGCGACGGGUAGCCGGACUGAGAGGUUGGUCGGCCACAUUGGGACUGAGGUACGGCCCAGGCUCCUACGGGAGGCAGCAGUGGGGAAUAUUGCACAAUGGGCGCAAGCCUGAUGCAGCGACGCCGCGUGGGGGAUGACGGCCUUCGGGUUGUAAACUCCUUUCGCCAGGGACGAAGCGUUUUGUGACGGUACCUGGAGAAGAAGCACCGGCUAACUACGUG